This is a long non-coding RNA of Ahaetulla prasina, 977 nucleotides long. RefSeq lists it as uncharacterized. The record is from RefSeq and is a predicted model, not a curated record. NCBI's taxonomy places the organism in Eukaryota, Metazoa, Chordata, Lepidosauria, Squamata, Colubridae. The transcript has 3 exons.
CAAGGAAAUGGAUUAAUUCCGUAAUCAAGUUAAGCGUGUUGAGUGAACUCAGCCGCUCAGUCAAUCUUAAGACAAUAUUGAGCCAAAUGAAUCGAUGAUGCGACUCAGCGUAAGCCAACUUUUGCUGAACACAGGAGAACCGACUUCCCCGAGUUCCCCUUUCUUGCAAAAAUCAUCUCGCCAUAAAUCUGAACGGACAACAGAGACGGCAGAUUUGUGUAGGGAAGGCACACACCGGCAACCCCUCGGAGACUCGGAGACUCUAAGGUUCUUCCCAAGACGUUUCGCUUCUCAUCCAAGAAGCUUCUUCAGUUCCCUCUUGAAAAAGCACCUUUGGGACAACCAUGGCCUGGAUGACUGAGAAUCUCCACUGACAUCUUUUCUUGCCGUUCUUCCUUCCAAUCAAGAUGUGUAAGGUAGCAUCUAACACAGAAGCAGCAGCUCUGGUGUGUAUUCUAUCUGGAAGCCUGUUACUUCCUGUAUCCAACAACUUUUAAUAACAACAACAACAACAACAACGAGUUGGAAGGGAUCUUGGAGGUCAUCUAGUCCAACCCCCUGCCCAGGCAGGAAACCCUACACUACUUCAGACAAAUGGUUGUCCAACAUCUUCUUUAAAAUUUCCAGUGUUGGAGCAUUCACAACUUCUUCAGGCAAGUUGUUCCACUGAUUAAUUGUUCUAACGGUCAGGAAAUUUCUCCUUAGUUUAACCUUAGACUGUCUACUGUUGACCUCCCCGCAUUCCUAAGAGGUCUGUAAGGGGGGUGCAUAAGCGCACCAGCGUGCCUACCGUCCCUGUCCUAAUGCCCCCCUUUUAUUCGUAUCCAUUUCAUGUAUUCAUAAUCAUGUUUAUACUUGUAUCUGUUAUGUAAUACUUGCUUGACAAAUAAAUAAAAUAAGUAAAUAAAUGAAAAUUACAUUUGGGGGGCGUUUUGUUACCCAAACACAGGCCAACUUCGAGAAACCCUGCUCUAAAC